Molecule: long non-coding RNA, 392 nt
Organism: Theobroma umbraticum
Lineage: Eukaryota; Viridiplantae; Streptophyta; Magnoliopsida; Malvales; Malvaceae
Source: RefSeq, a predicted model, not a curated record
AGCUUGAAGGAGAUGUGUGGCUUGGUUUCAAGAUCAAAGUGAUGAAAGGAAGUGUUCAAGUGAAAAAAGAUUAUCAUGGUGAUUAACUAGAGAGGAAACGGGUGAUUGCCAAGCUAAUUUAAUUUGAAACGUAACUGGAUAAGUGGCGAAGUAAUAUCCUGCCAUUGUAAGAUAAUGAUUAGCAUAACGUGCAUUCAUCAACAUAUAUUGCCCACCACUUAUAGGUAAAGGCAUCUCAUAGCAACUUUUUUCAAGUCACUCUACUGCUAGAGGUCGAGUCAUUCAUAGUGUAUAUUGUUUGUAAAUAGUGUUAAUACAAAUGUACUUUUGGAGGUUAAAAACCUUGAUGUAUUUCUACAAUUAUGUGGAAUAAAAGUUAAGGCGAUUUAUAA